Molecule: ribosomal RNA, 591 nt
Filed under: Fusarium chlamydosporum
Lineage: Eukaryota; Fungi; Ascomycota; Sordariomycetes; Hypocreales; Nectriaceae
Description: eukaryotic LSU rRNA
Rfam family: Eukaryotic large subunit ribosomal RNA
Source: RNAcentral
CCUCGGAUCAGGUAGGAAUACCCGCUGAACUUACAACAGGGAUUGCCCUAGUAACGGCGAGUGAAGCGGCAACAGCUCAAAUUUGAAAUCUGGCUCUCGGGCCCGAGUUGUAAUUUGUAGAGGAUGCUUUUGAUGCGGUGCCUUCCGAGUUCCCUGGAACGGGACGCCAUAGAGGGUGAGAGCCCCGUCUGGUUGGAUGCCAAAUCUCUGUAAAGCUCCUUCGACGAGUCGAGUAGUUUGGGAAUGCUGCUCUAAAUGGGAGGUAUAUGUCUUCUAAAGCUAAAUACCGGCCAGAGACCGAUAGCGCACAAGUAGAGUGAUCGAAAGAUGAAAAGCACUUUGAAAAGAGAGUUAAAAAGUACGUGAAAUUGUUGAAAGGGAAGCGUUUAUGACCAGACUUGGGCUUGGUUAAUCAUCUGGGGUUCUCCCCAGUGCACUUUUCCAGUCCAGGCCAGCAUCAGUUUUCGCCGGGGGAUAAAGGCUUCGGGAAUGUGGCUCUCUCCGGAGAGUGUUAUAGCCCGUUGCGUAAUACCCUGGCGGGGACUGAGGUUCGCGCAUCUGCAAGGAUGCUGGCGUAAUGGUCAUCAACGA